This 749-nucleotide ribosomal RNA is filed under the name uncultured bacterium. Its description in RNAcentral is "bacterial SSU rRNA". It matches the Rfam family "Bacterial small subunit ribosomal RNA", at positions 180 to 917 of the family's 1533-position model. The record is from RNAcentral.
CAUUUACUGCAUGGUAGAUGUUUAAAAGGUGCAAAUGCAUCACUACCAGAUGGACCUGCGUUGUAUUAGCUAGUAGGUGAGGUAACGGCUCACCUAGGCGACGAUACAUAGCCGACCUGAGAGGGUGAUCGGCCACACUGGGACUGAGACACGGCCCAGACUCCUACGGGAGGCAGCAGUAGGGAAUCUUCGGCAAUGGGGGGAACCCUGACCGAGCAACGCCGCGUGAGUGAAGAAGGUUUUCGGAUCGUAAAGCUCUGUUGUUAAGGAAGAACGAGUGUGAGAAUGGAAAGUUCAUACUGUGACGGUACUUAACCAGAAAGGGACGGCUAACUACGUGCCAGCAGCCGCGGUAAUACGUAGGUCCCGAGCGUUGUCCGGAUUUAUUGGGCGUAAAGCGAGCGCAGGCGGUUAGAUAAGUCUGAAGUUAAAGGCAGUGGCUCAACCAUUGUAGGCUUUGGAAACUGUUUAACUUGAGUGCAGAAGGGGAGAGUGGAAUUCCAUGUGUAGCGGUGAAAUGCGUAGAUAUAUGGAGGAACACCGGUGGCGAAAGCGGCUCUCUGGUCUGUAACUGACGCUGAGGCUCGAAAGCGUGGGGAGCGAACAGGAUUAGAUACCCUGGUAGUCCACGCCGUAAACGAUGAGUGCUAGGUGUUAGGUCCUUUCCGGGACUUAGUGCCGCAGCUAACGCAUUAAGCACUCCGCCUGGGGAGUACGACCGCAAGGUGAAACUCAAAGGAAUUGACGGC